GGUGCCUUAGUAUAGUGGUUAGUACAGUUCGUUGUGGUCCUACUCCAUACAGUGCCAUGUUCCGAACAAACACGCGUUCGAUUCGCGUAGGCGCCA
This is a non-coding RNA of Hypomontagnella submonticulosa, 96 nucleotides long. Lineage: Eukaryota; Fungi; Ascomycota; Sordariomycetes; Xylariales; Hypoxylaceae. The record is from the annotation of a GenBank genome assembly.